CUUAGAUCUCACUUAAGGGCUGACUGCCACUAAAGAACAGAUCUUCUAGAGGUUCUUCCUUGGUGGAGCUUUCCUCUGUAAACUUGGAAUCUUCUGAUACAGCAGGAAUUCUGGAGCAGCCAUCUGCACUGCUGAUUUCUGCCAGGACAUCCGGCUUCACAUUUUCGUGUCCUACAACAAUUUGUGCCCUCAGCAACCUGCACUGUGGCCACCGGGGUUCCCUCAUUGCCGGCUGUGAAAUCUGAAAGCAUGCAUUGCUUCAUUUUGCCCCGUUUCUUCAGGGAAAGUUGAGGCUCCCAAGCAGAAUCAGACAGAACUCUGAACUGUCUCUGCUGUUCUGGCAGUGGUGAAGAGUGAUGCAGUUUGGGUCACCAAGUCCUCCAUCCGUGGGCAAGCUGUGACCUCAGAAACCUGCUUCUUCAUCUGAUGGCUGUGAGGAAAAUGCUGCUUCUGGGAAGAGCUGCUUUGGGAAUGACCGGGCCGGGGAGCUGGAUGUGUGUGCAUUGCACCAGGCUGGAGUAAGGAAAUGCUUUUUAGACCAAGCAGUUCAGGUGACAUGCAAGCAGCACAGCGAGCAGCGAUGCCUAAAGCAAAACAAACCAAAGAGAAAAUCUGGGAAGGCUCAGCAACACAGUUUUCUCCUGGCAAACUCUACUCCAGGAUUUGCAGGGGAGACCUCAAAGGAUGUAUUUAAAACAAACAAACAAACAAACAAACAAAAAAACAAACACUGAAAGAUGCCUCCAGAGAGCCUCUUGGCCUGAGCAGAUACGAAGAUACGAUGCUGCUGGGGUGUGAACGCAGGAAUGUUGUGCUGGGAGAGUGGGCCAUGCAGCUGUUUGCUUCGCUGCGGAUGGAUGAGUUCACAGGAUCCCAACUCACUUCUAAGUUUAUCAGGGAAAUGCCUGCAAACUUGCCAGACCCCUGUUCCUCCUCCUCAUUCAACCUUCUUUCACAGUAAUUGGAGGUUAUUGAGCUUCCUGAUUCCUCUGUCAUUUUGAUGUCCUCUAAAAGGUGUCAUGCAUACGCACUUCUUGUGCUGAAGAAUCCAUGACUGUUGACCUAUAAUCUUUGCAACUUAAUGGAUGAAGCAGGAGGAGCUGAGCUGUGCUGUUCAGCUCCAGGAUGGGCUGAAGCAGAGCAGUGUUGGUGUGCUCACACCUGAGCCAGGCACUGAGCUCAUUGCUCUCCUGUAGUGCCUUCUGUUACACAAAUGCAUUCACCCAACGCUUGAGAGAUCAGAGUACUUUCACUCACACCCAUGUGUGGAUGUACUGAUGGGAGGGCAGUUGAGUUCACCUCAUGUUUCCAGAUGUGAAAGAAGUUUGGGUACACUGAAAAACGUUGGUCUCUUCUGUUGCCCAUUUGAUUUGAUGCCAAAAGUAAAAUAAAGAAUAGAAAACACCUCUGGAGACUUGAAGAAGAAGAAGAAAUGAAAAAGUGGUUGGUUCAUGGAAGGCAACUUAGAAAAGAUGUUUUGGGAAGGGUGAUGAGCAGUGCAUGGAGAAGGAGAGCUGAUCAGGAGCAGGAACAAGAUCCAGAAGGCAUAGCAUCCAUGAGAGACAUGCAGAGAAAUGAUUGCUUAGCCUCUAAAUAAGUGGAAGGACACUGAGGUCAUGACUGGUCCUGCAGCAAAAAGCCCUGGCUCUGCUCGGAGCUGCCAAGGGGGGCAGAGUCCCUGCCCUUCCUCUGCUGCUCAGGUGAAGAACCUGGAGGAGCAGACCCAGCUCAGCACGGAGCUCAUGGUGUGGUGCUGGCAGCUGCAUGGUGUGGCUGUGAUCCCUGCAGCCUCAGAAAGGAGAAAAAAUGCCCUGGCAACAGGCACGUGCUCUGAACCAUGCCGUGCCUCUGUAAUGGCACGUCUUCGCUCUUUGCUCCCAUCUGAAUACCAGGAAAGGCCUUGGAAAGAAUUAUUUUGGUUUAGAUCUCAUUAGUAUGGUUACACAACUAAAAGUACGUGAUGGCAAAAUAUUUUAUGGUGUGAGGGAGGCAGACUGGCACCAGAAAGCAGAGAGCCUCGUCUGCAGCAGGUGUGCCCAACAGCUGGAUGCUCCACACAGAGCACUGCUGGCCACCUCUCAGCGAGGGCUGCGUGUGUCCUGGGGGCAUCCAGCACUUACUGCUCCAUUAAUGUGGUCUGACCCAUGAUAUAUCCAGGGGUUUUUCUUUUUUCUUUCUGUUUCUCAGACAAAGCAGCCUACCCCUCUUGCAGAUUUUGCUUGAAUUGAAGCCUAUUUCUCCUUAGCAUGUGUUUCAUUUCUGUUUGCUGCUGGGACAUGUAAAGCAGCGAAUCUGCACGGGGUUAAUGCCUCAGCACACUAAGAAAAGCAGAGGCUGGCAAGGAGGAGUGGGAGAAAGUAGAUCAAGAGAGAGUGCUUUGUUCCAGUUCAAGGCUUAAAGUAUGAGGCGCUGUUAUUGGAGGCUGAAAUAAUUCUGUUAAAGGGAUGGGAUCUCAUUUUGCUUCAGUUCAAGAUUUAAUAAUUCCUUGGCCAAGCUAAUAACGUGGGGAAGGCCCUCCCCACAAAUAUUGCAGGCACUUCUCUGCAGCCUCAUGCACUUUUCAGAUGGCUGUGAGAGCAAAUCCAUGCUGCAAAGUGAAAACUUUCCUGAAACACUGAGGAUAUCUGCACUGCAAAUCACUGAAAUCUGAACCUCAUUACCACGGACAUCAUUAACAACCAGUCACUUACACCCUUUGCACAUAAGAUAUAUUGAAUAUCAUCAGUUGAAAUAUUAAGUAAUUCUGUCCUCCUCUGAGGAGCAGAGCAGCUGUGGAUCUGCACUGGGAGUUAAAUCUUGCUUCUCCUCUGCCUGCAGUCUGUAUUGUACGUCUCCAGUUCGAUCUCCUUUAGCACCAUGUUCUCUUUCUUCAUGGAGACAUGCCAGAAGACUUGAUGGGGAGAAGCCCUUGGUUUCUAAGAAAGGUGUGGAGAGAAUUCAGGGACUCUCCAGGACAGCAGGAGCUGUAAUGGGAGGAGUGGGUGUGCAGUGUGCCCAGUGCUGGGCUGAGGGGCUGCAGCUGAGGGGGGCACAGGAAUUGAAUGGGCAGCGCUCAGCCCCUGAGUGGGGAAGAAAUGUGGCACAGAGAGGAUGAGGGCUCUUCUGUCUGUAGUUCAGCAUUCACCAGGGCUGUCUCAAGAGUUGUGCUCUUGUUUGCUUCUCUUUGCUGCGGAUGGGAGCAGCUCAGGCUUGGCAGGGCAGGGGACUUGUCAUCUCCUCCUUUUCAUACACUUCAGCGCUUUGCAGUCUUGGCAGAGCGACAUGCUGAAGGGGUUCUGCUCUUCGGUUUCCAAUUCUUAUAUUCCCAAUGGUGAUUAAACAAGAAAAUCUCCUACAAGCCUUUUCUUGUUGGAUUCUUCAGACCUAUUUCGAGAUCAAAUAGGCUUUGAGCAGGUCUGGAUAAGCUCAGGCACUUUAAUCUGCUUGAAAGGAGGGACGGGGCGACGUGCUCGGCACGGUGAUGGAUCGCUGUGUGUUGAGUAGCACUCCUGUCCCCACACGGAGCUGCUGCACGGCCCUGGGCACCAGCAUUCUGCAGCACUGUGCAACCUGCAUGGCACAGCUGAACCCGAGGGCAGUGCAGGGAUGGAUGCAGACACCUCGAGUUGUCUGCUGCUAAUACUUGAGCAGGAUCAUCAUUAUUGAGGCUAAUUAGAAUUCAGUGAGAACGGGUCGUUCAUUAGAGAGAGGAAAGAAUGUUCCACGGAGCCCCGGAUUUGGUAGAACUAUUUCACAUAAUUAAACAAUUCCACAUCUCGGCAUUUUAUCCCUCUUGUUAUUGUUGAACUUUGUUAAUAAGUUUUUAAUUGCAAAUUAUCUCUAUGACACAAAUUACAGUGUUUACUGAUCAGCAAAAAUACCACGAUAACUUUAUUGGGUGCCAAGUCCUUCAGACACACCAGCUGCCAAGUUCUCUCUCUUACACAGUUUGGCAUUAAACUAUCUUCCGGCUAACUGAAAUACGGCAACUUCCGGUUGGAAGUUCUAUGGGCAGCACUGAUUUCUGGCUAAAGCUCCAGUAGGGAAAGAAGGGCUUUCAUGAGGGCUUCAGCUGCACAGCACAAGUUUGCCCAUGCUUCUCUGCCAGUCUGGUUUGUGUUCUGCAUUGUGAAGGAAACGUGUGAGCAUCCAUUUUCAUUCAGGUCUGUCGUUUCUGCUGAAGUGACUAAGAAUUAUUGAAAUCAGCUGAUAUUGUGGUCGGGAGAAUAGGCUAAAGUUUUCCGAAAGUCUCAGUGAGUCUUGUCUCUGUUUCUGAGGGGGUUUAUCUUUUAGAUUGUUUUUUUGUUUGUUUGUUUUUUGGUUUUUUUUUUGUUUUACAUCUGCAAAAGAAAACUAUUUUAAAGUC
Long non-coding RNA from Lagopus muta (rock ptarmigan), 4345 nucleotides. RefSeq lists it as uncharacterized. Lineage: Eukaryota; Metazoa; Chordata; Aves; Galliformes; Phasianidae. The transcript has 5 exons. The record is from RefSeq and is a predicted model, not a curated record.